UACGUAGGGGGCAAGCGUUGUCCGGAAUCAUUGGGCGUAAAGAGCGUGUAGGCGGCUCGAUAAGUCUGCUGUGAAAGUCCAGGGCUCAACCCUGGAAGGCCGGUGGAAACUGUCGGGCUAGAGUCCGGAAGAGGCGAGUGGAAUUCCUGGUGUAGCGGUGAAAUGCGCAGAUAUCAGGAAGAACACCAAUGGCGAAAGCAGCUCUCUGGGACGGUACUGACGCUGAGACGCGAAAGCGUGGGGAGCGAACAGG
This 253-nucleotide ribosomal RNA is filed under the name uncultured bacterium. RNAcentral's name for it is "partial 16S ribosomal RNA". It matches the Rfam family "Bacterial small subunit ribosomal RNA", at positions 524 to 776 of the family's 1533-position model. The record is from RNAcentral.